Molecule: ribosomal RNA, 240 nt
Filed under: uncultured bacterium
Lineage: Bacteria
Description: partial 16S ribosomal RNA
Rfam family: Bacterial small subunit ribosomal RNA
Source: RNAcentral
AAUCCUGGCUCAGGAUGAACGCUAGCUACAGGCUUAACACAUGCAAGUCGAGGGGCAGCAUGAAAGGAACUUCGGUUCUUUUUGAUGGCGACCGGCGCACGGGUGCGUAACGCGUAUUGAACCUGCCUCAUACUCGGGAAUAGCCUUGCGAAAGUAAGAUUAAUACCCGGCGGUCUCGGAUGGCCGCAUGACUAUCCGAGUGAAGAUUUAUCGGUAUGAGAUGGCGAUGCGUCCCAUUAG